Misgurnus anguillicaudatus (oriental weatherfish) is the source of this 339-nucleotide non-coding RNA. The record is from RefSeq and is a predicted model, not a curated record. Lineage: Eukaryota; Metazoa; Chordata; Actinopteri; Cypriniformes; Cobitidae.
AUAACACAUUAGAACUACACAAGGGGAUAUAAGUUCCUCUUUUGUAUUCUUGCUGUCAUUUGAAAGUGAUUUGAACUUUGCUAAGAUGCUCACUGAGAUCAACGGAUUCUGUUUGAAGUUACUGAAUAUACUCUACAGACAGAUGAUGUUUCCUGAAUCAAUUCCUCUCUUUUUGACUGUUCUUGUGUUCAGUUCCUCAACUGAUUCAACUGAACCUUUAAUAAAAGUUCCCGAAACAGAACAAACAAAAUCUGAAGGAUCAUGUGUCACCAUCUCCUGUACUUAUAAUCAAGGACAGGAUGAAAACUUGAAACUUCUCUGGUUUAAGAAUCCAGAAUA